GGACCAUGGCUCCAUGGCAGAGCAUCUGCUUGGAAUGCAGAAGGGCCCCAGAUUCAAUUCCUGACAUCUCCA
RNAcentral lists this transfer RNA (72 nucleotides) under Sphaerodactylus townsendi. RNAcentral's name for it is "tRNA-Ser". Lineage: Eukaryota; Metazoa; Chordata; Lepidosauria; Squamata; Sphaerodactylidae. The record is from RNAcentral.